UUUGAUGGUUGACGACCCUGCACAUAGCAGGGGGGGGGUUGAAACUACAUGAAUUUUGAGGUCCUUUUCAACCCAGGCCAUUCUUCAGAAUUUCCUCUGCUCACCUUCAGGACAAAGCAGCAAUACUUGUCUGUUUUUUACAUUCUUUUCCCUGUACUGUAUCCUGCCGCCUCUUUCACAAGCAACACUUGAUGGAAAUGAGAUGACAAAUAAGUUGGCCUCUCCAUCUUACUGUAAGUGGCAGCCCCAGGAACAGGCAAGUGAGCAAGAUGCGGGCAAGGAAGUGGCUACUUCUGUUGUGUGUUGGAGUAGCCAGAGAAAUCUGCUUUAUUUUCAAGGCAGACAAUUAAGACUGCGCUUGUUUAAUGACUCGCAAAUGUAUCUCAAGUAGCAAAUAUCAGUGCAGAAGUAUUUCAGAGACAGUAGAGAUAACUGGAACUCAACUAAUUGUGCUUUUCUGCCAUUCCUUUUUCAAACGUACAGAAAAUAUUUUCUCUGUUUAGAUGUUUGGGCUUUUUUUAGUGUGUGUGUGUGUACAUACAUGCAUAUAUAUAUAUACAUACACACACACACACGUGUGUGUGUAUAUAUGUAUAUAGCAAAAAUAUGAUCUUAUAGAGGAAACAAUAUUUGCCAGAUCUUAUCCUUUAUCGGUGACAUAUGACACAGUUCAAUUACAGCUUGUCAAAAGCAUUCUCCACUGUGGAGCAGAGUGGAAAAACAAAUUACACACAAAUGACAGUGGACUGUUACAGUCAACUCAGGGACUAACAACCUCUUGACUUUCUUACUAAGAUGUGUGAAAAGCAAUGGAAGCAUAACAUGAAAUAUGGGGGGAAGGAUACCGUGGCUUUCUGUGGUUCUGAACUGAAUGGAACAGCAGCGAUGCUGAAUCCUGUGCAGAUGAUCUGUGAGUGAGUGAGUGAUGGGGAAAGGAGAAUUCCUGGCAUGAGAGAGGGUAAAAUUAUUACUUGGGCCACAGUUCUGUGCUGGGGGUGGGGAGGACCUGCCUAGCUCAUUUGGCUAUCUCAGUACUGUCACAGUAGGAAAAUUUAUUUUGAGGAUGUUGCCAGGGAAGCGAUGGGGUUUUACUUUAAAUUAAUCAAGUAUUUAAAUCAGUUAUGAGCACUUAAAUAGAACCUGACUACCUCUUUCUAGAAGAAUGGAUGAUUCUCUUGGUGCUGUGUUCUUGUUGGAAAAAUUGCUUUGGCCUGCUGGGAAACUUAUGCAAUCUUGUCUAUAAAUAAGCCUUUUUUUUUUUUCCUAUUUCUAGAGGAAACUUGAGCAGCACAUAUUGAUAGUCAGUUUCCAGAUAAAACUCAGCUAAAUAUGAAACUCUUCAGUUUUCAAUAACUGUUUUUGUCGAACUUAGAUCAGGAGCCUGGAGUGUGUGCAGUUGCUGCUCUCAGGCUUUAGGUAGCUCUGCUGUGCCCCCACCACAUCAUUUUUGACUAAAGGUAGGAUUUUAUAAGACUGAUCAUAGCAACGUAUUUAUCUGAAAAUGCUUUUCCUGUCAGAUCUUCCUCAGUGCCCCUAGGAUUUAAGGUCAGGGUCUAAUAGCUUCGAGAGGGGUUGGAUUUUAUGUGACAGAGUAUGUGGUCUUCUGCAGAGAGAAGCAUUAUAGAGCUUCAUUUAAAAAAUGCAGGUGGUAUGGAAAUAAUACCCACUGUUCAAAAAGUGACAACUGCUCUUGAAAGGAAGGGGUGGCACAUGAAUCUGUUUUUUAUGAUGGUCUGUAUGUUUCACUGAAGAAUUUCUACUCCAUGUAGCUGUGUUUAGGCUGGUUGCUUACAUAAGUGCUUCCUCACUAUUUCACUUAGUGGUAGUCCUGUAGACCUGGUCACUUGUCAGUGUUGUGGUGGUGCAACCCUUCAGAGUCACAGAGGAAAAAGAAACAGAUUGUGCUCCCCUAAAACUACACUCAAUAACUAAAAGUUAUAUAUAGAGUGUGUGUAUGUAUAUAUAUAUGUAACAUUAAAUAUAACAUAUAUAUAGUAAGGGAUUCUCCAAAAGUUGUUGCAAAACUAAGUCUUUCGUCAAGGUUGUUAAAAGCACUAGGAGGCAGCACAGCUGCCCAAAUAUGAAUGAGACCAGCACUUCAUCUCAUAAGAGUAGUGAUAUUCCUACCCUGCUUAAAUGAUGCCGAUGACCAUAAGUUUGGCCUGACCUUACUGACACCAUACUCAAACAAAGCAAUAAAAAUAAGCAGGAGGCUCAUUUACAUGGAGAUGCAGCGUUAGAGAAGAUCUCACAGCAGUCCAAAGGAAAUUUGGGUUACCUAUUGCUGUUUCUGUGAUGCUAUUCUGGCCUAAUAAUUAUAGAAGAGCGCUUGUGUUGGUAAUGGGCCUAACAAAACUCCUUGUUCUCCAUUUGUCUCAAGCAACUUGCUUCGCUGCUGGAGAAAUCUCUAGAGGUGUAUAUUUAUCUUGCUUCAGUGAGUGUCUACAAGUGAAUGGCUUUCAAGAGGAGCAGGACAAAAAUUAAGGCUCAUAAUAUGUGCUUUUGUGUUAUGUUUCCCUACUUGGAUGUGUCUUGAGUAUGAAGUGCAUAAGAAUGUAGGUUAUAUUGUAGAUAUGCUUUUUUUUUCCUUUUCUUUUUUAAUGUACUCAUUAAAUAUUCUGCCCUGAAAGAGGAAGAAGUCUGGUGCUCUCUACCUAACUGAAACAAGGUAAGUGUGUUGAGGCAGGUGGGAGCGGGUGGGUAAGGAACAAUGUGAAAGUAACAACAGAAUAACUUUUUAAAAAGUUUUCAGCUUUGCUGGAAACUGUAAGAUGAGCAUGUAUGCGUUACUGAGAAUGAGACAAUGCUAUCAAGCUGCAUUACUCAAAAUUUAGAACAUGAGCAGUUUGCAUCCCUACCCACUUUUGUGUUUGCCAUCACACCAGGAACGAAUAAGCAGCUAUUGCUGUGCCUUCAUUUGGAUAUGCUGGGGCUAUGAAAAGUAGGCAAAUAUGUAACUAAUAGAAUUCUCAAGUAUUUUCCUAGUUGUCCCAGUCUGAAACAAGAGAAGAGUUUGGAGCAAUGCAUCGUGUGUUUUGUAAUGGUUUUUGCCUUGUUGAUGUGUUUUGUGGGGAAAAAAACUAGAUUGGUUGAAUUGGUUGAAUUAGUUGAUGGAAUAAUUCCUUACAGGAAGGAGAAGUCGUCAGAACAUUGAGUAGUUUAAAUCUAAAGUGCACAGAGGAUUAGAAAAGGUACAGGGAGGAAUAAUUUUGUGUUGGCAGGAGAUAGACUUAAUAGUACUUUUUAUCUGUAAUUUUUAUGAUUCUAUGGCUAACUGGGGAAAAGUUUAAUGUUCCUGAUACAGCAACUGAAGGUAGGAGAGGGAAGAUUGACAUAACCAGAGCUGUUAUAAUUCAUUUCAUUACUUCACACAAGGCUUUUAUAUUGUCACGCCCAUAAAGCGCCAGUGUGUGUGCUUAUAGCCAAUUCAUCUUUAUAUACUGCUGCUGAUCCCAUUGAAGUGAAUGGCAAAACUCCCAUCAAUUUUAAUGGCAGUGGGAUAUGGCCCAUUUUGUAGAUAUACAAUGUAUAUUUCCUGCACACACUACUUUCUGUGUAUAAUGUGCCUCUCAUCUGAGGCUCUGAGAAUGUUUUACAAAGCGGUUAAUUCUAAACCAUUCGUGUCGCCUCCAACUGAUAAUGUGAUCUAUCUUCAGAAGGAAAUUUAGAAGUUGGCAUUUGGUUAUUUGUUUAUUUUAGGCUCAGCAUGCGCUUAGAAGGUCUCCAUGUGUGAAGGGCCAUCUUUGGAAAAUUUCCAUGAAUGAGUUGCUGGAGGUAACUAGAUUAGAAAUACGUGUCAUACUUGCAAGGCUACCAUUAUGCUUCAAAACUGAAAAAUAGGAAGCAUCAAGGAGAAUUGAAGGCAGCAUGGAUCACUGGGUUUGUACAUUACUGGUAGUCUGCAGCCCCAGAGGCUUAGAACGUCCCUUUUGGAUAUCACCUGUGUGAAUAGAAUAGAUUCACUUAAUUAACAGGGUAUAAACAAAAAAAAGUCAUUAUCGAUUCUUUGACUAUCUUAGCAUUCCUACUGAGAAACACGUUAGACAGUGGCAAGGUACCUACUCCUUCCAGAACCCAUCGUCUUUGAGCCUGUUAAAAUGAAUGUGCAAUGUAUGAGCUGUGUUUUAGUAACUCUAAACUCCUGCUGGUUGUGCUUUGAAAAAUGUGGAUUCAUAACAGCAUUCAGCACGUGUGAUAGAAAUAGAGUUAUCUGACUGGCCUGUGUCUUCACUUGAGCAUCUUCCUUCCUUGGCAGUUAUGUAUGUACAUAUGUAAGUUGGGUAGCAUUCACAUUCCUAGCUUAAUGAGAUAACAAGGUUUGUAGAAGACCCAAAUGGGAAGUUUGCAGUGUAACUUAGUCUUACAGCAUAGUUGUGAGUUAUGUACUAGUAGAGACUAAAUAAUUCAGUGAACUGUACUGCAGGUGACUGAUCACCAAGCCUUUCUGUACAACAUGCUCUUUCACUUAGCACGUGCUGCAUUACACUUUUUGGAACUGGAGUAUGCAAAGACUUAUGAUCUCUUUAUUUGACUGGGAUGUAUGCAACUACGUCCACCUUGUUGAAGUACGCCUGCUUUUGGUUAGGGCUGUAACACUGAAGAGUAUGUCUUCAUGAAUUUAAGUAGCUGUGUUGUGGUGGGGUGACAUGGGAAAAUACCACCAUCCAGAAGUGUGUUAAUGUCAUCUAACCAUGCAGGCAGUCACCCUUCAUGCAGUCCCCUGCAGAGCAACUCAUGUAAAGCAGUUGUCACCCAAGACAAACAGGAAUUAUCUGGUUUCAGUUGGUUGGUUUUCACCACCUUUUAUUUUUUAACCUUGUUUAAAUAUAUAAGUAGUCAUGGUGUUGUUGCUUGUUUGUUUGGUUGUUUUUUUUUAAUUCUAGAUACAAAGUUGACUUGAACUCUUAGGCUGUGAUUAAUAUUCUUACCUUGUUCUCAAGGGUAUGCUGACCUUCACUUCCAGUGCUGAAAACAUCGUGUAGAGCUAUAUCCCACCACGUGCUGGACUGUAUGCCAUAAUGUCAUGCAUUAUAAGGCAACUAUGGCUUUGUGGAGAGGAUAUUGUUGUUGUUGCAGCACUAGCCUGAAGUUCAGGAAGCGAGAGUUCAGUUCAUGGUUUUUUUGUUGACUUCCCUUGGGCAGUUUUCUUCUGUUUUGAUUUUUAGAAGCACUCAGUAGAGGCCUAACUCUCCAGUCAAUAUCAGACAUUUCCAUUGGUUUGUCUGAGAACUGAGUUAAGACACAAUGAAGUGCAUAAACUGCUUUGUCUUUAAACUCUCUGGGCCUCGUUUUUCCAUCUGUCAACAAAAGCCAAGAUUGUUCCAGUAGCAUUUACUUAUUUAUAAAUGUCUCACUACUUACUCCACCAGUUUCCAGACAUCAGCUGACCUGGGACUUGAUUUCUUAAAUUAUGAGGCUACUUUUUAAUGAAAAGUUUCAUUGCUUUUGCUAAAAAAAAUACAAAGCUUUAAUAGCGGAAGUUGGGGAAGAGCUUUUCCACCAGAGUUUUUCUUCCAAUGUCCUCUCUUAAGAGUUCUUUCUUAAGCAAAAAAACAUAAGUGUCUGUCUCCUCAUGCUUUCUUCUAGCCUUCUUGCAGAGUAUAAAAUGCUGUAGCUUCUAAACUCAGCUUUGCUUUAGUCUGAGAAAUGUGGUUCUUCUAAAUUAUUGAUUCUUUACCCAAGAAACACAAAACAAGUUUUAUUUUUCUUCCAAUUGCAUCAUACAGAUUGAUUCUCAAUGCAGAACAGAAAGUCUUUUGGAAAAACAUUUACAGUUUUACUUGGGUUGCGGGUGCAGAGGAUAUCAAAGGAGGCAUAUUAUUGAAGUUAACACUCUGAAGGCUACUCUGCUACUUAAAGGAGUAGUGUAAUAGGCCUUUGGAGUUUGUCUACAAGGUAAGUUUAUUUGGGUUUUCUUUUUUGGUGGUUUUUUUUUUUUUUUUCAGAAUGGGAAAUUAGAUAAUAGUCCUGGUGAGAAUCAGUGUCUGUGGAAGAAUAGAUGCAUUGCACUGAAAAGUGUGUGUGAGAUUAUUCUGCCAACACAACUGAAUGGAUCCAUGCUUAGCUCAAGUCCUCUGCGGUGAUUCUGUGGAGUUUCAAGAUCAGGAAAGGCUCCCUCCUACACACCUAGGUACAUACGCUGAGAGGCUUCUUUAGAUUCUUCUACCUGAAAGGACUUGGAGAUGGCUAGAGAGUGAUUUGGUUCUCGGGAUCACAGAUAAGUGUAUAAAGACUGAUUAAAUGCAAUGCACUGUGCUUUGUUUUGUCUAUUUUAUUGAACUUUUUUCAUUGUUGGUGCAUGUAUUUUGAAUAAGCAGUAGGAAAAAAGGAACUAUGCUAGAGAUAAAUGUCUCAAUCUAAAGUUUUCUGAAGUUUUUUUUUCCUAUUUAAAAAAAAAGAUUGCUCUGUCUGAAAUCGGAUAUAAGACAAGGAGACUGUAAAAGGUUUUCUAAGGCAGCACAUUCUCUGCUGAAUCCUACAGUAGAAGGAAAGUUAGAACACUGUCUUUCACUUUUUGCACAAUACCUUUAAUCUGUCGGAAAUGGAGUAAGGUUGACAGUAGCUUAGUGACCUAGGUGUUAAAGUCAUAUUCAUAUCCUUGGAGAUUUGGGCUUUAAAAACAUUUCAGCUCUUUGAAAAUGUUAACUUAAAGGUCAAAAUGGACUAGGUUUCAGUCAGUUCUGUACAACUCUUCUUUUUCCCAAUGGUUACUUCAGGUACACAACUGCUGUUGCUGAUAGUGAAUGGAAAAGUGCAUUUGAUUUUUUCCACAGGGGAUUUUAAUGAAAACACUGUGUAGACUUGGUUUGGAAAGGGCAAGGUAAACUUCUGUUGGAAUACCCACAACUGGUUUAUGCCAUUUAACUGAUGAUUGUUAGGAUGAAUAAAGCGGGACCAGGCAUGUGAAUUGCAUUUCAUGCUCCUGCAUGUGAAAUUUUGCAGCAGUAACUGUGAUGCAGGCAAAGCUUAAAAUGUCAUCGUACUAGUUCAUCUCUAACAGCCUGUGUGCUUGUGUUUAACUCAAGUGAUAUGACAGGGCAUUACAAAGAGGACGCAAACAGAAAGACAGCAGUGUGCAAAUUCCUGGCGCUGGAGUGACAAAGAUAAUCUCAGACUGCAAAUCCUUACUUGGGUUAAGUCUGUCUCGGAGGUUGCAGCUGAUAUCUCCAUUCAGGCUCCAGAAUGUAUUUAAAGAUGAAUGUUUAGGCCUUGGUGAGGUUAAGCCCAUACAAGCAAACAAAUGGGUUUCACCUUCAGAAAAAUGUAAGCUUAUCUGUAAGAAAAGCAAUUUUCUCCUUGUGCUCUGCUAAAUGCAACCCAUCAGGAUGGUCAGUUGCUCCUGUGGGGCAUCUCCAUCGCCCUACCGGACUGAGUGCAGAGGGAAGCACCUCGGGUCACCCUGCUCCCUUUGCUGUUGCUUCUGUUUCUUACUUCUCUGCACUUAGAUAGCAUCCUGACAUUUGUAAAAAGAAGCAUUUUUUUUCUUUCUAUACUAACUUUUAGAGAAGUUAAAAAGAAACAGCAUAGCGGUUGGUGACCCUGCACAUAGCAGGGGGGUUGAAACUAGAUGAUCAUUGUGGCCCUUUGCAACACAGGCCAGUCUAUGAUUCUAUGAAGAACUGCAGGAGAGGCAAAAGCAAUUCUGGAAAGGGGAGUGGGCAGAUUGGCUUUGUAUUGGGGGAAGAGAAUGAGUGCUUAAGGCAUCUGAAUUAGCAUCCAAAAUAAUUUCAAUCAGAAGCACUGGUAAAGAUUACUCUCUUGAUUUUAGGAAAGCUGAAAAGCAUAUCAAUUGGUUCUCUCUGCUCUUCCUCUCCCAUUAGCGGCUGUACUGGGCAAGGUGUUUGAGUAGCUGUGUGUCUGGCUUUAUAAGCACAUGGUGGUUUUAGGAGUUCCCACAGUGAGGAUGGCUCACUUUAAGCUUCUCCCCACAAAAGGUAGCAGUUAAUGAAAAUUAAGUGGUCCUUCAAAAAACAACUCUUACUGAACAUGUAGUAAUCUCAUGAUUUCAGGCUUCUUUUGAUAUUCAGAUCUCUGUGGGUAAGAAGUAAACACGAGGAUUUCAGAAGAGUGAAUCUUUGCUCUUCUUUCCUUGGUGUACUCCCUUUUCAGAAUCAUUGUUUCAGAGAACUCUAAAUGUGAACAUGUGAAAAAUGCUGUCUGAGGCGCAAUCUCUUUGUUAGUGGCAUGAUCUAUUGGAAAAAGUUAGCAAAUGUUAAAAUAUUCGAGUACCACUGUUAAAGCUUCCUUACGUUUUAUAUAGUUGUUUGUUCAGUGAAUGCAAUACAGUGAGAUAUGAUUCUAUCCCCUUGUUUUCUUCAGCUCAUUCUGUAAUGACAGGUCUGCAAUGAUAUUUCUGAACUUUUGCUCUUUUACUCAGAUCAGGACAUGCAUACCCGAUGUCUCUGGGGUUUCAGGUGGGAGUAAUUAUCUACUCAAAAGAGAGUAGCAUUUAAAUAUUACUCAGCUAAAUAGCUGAUUUUCCCCAUCUCUUCCUAAAUAUGAUUAGUCUUGCACUCAAAUGCAAAGCAUGUCUACUAUGAAUGUCAAUCAGUCAAGUAAGUAUGCUGGAGAAGGAGGGAAAACAGUGAAAGUUGUCAUUUAUUGUUAUGAAUGCAUGCAAACUGGAGUAAAAAUGAAAUUUGUCAUCAGUUCAUUAGCUUAAUUUUUACUGGAUCUGAGCUAUUGCAGCCACUAUUAUAAUGGAGGUGUCGUAACUGUUAUCACAUUUGUAUAUGGAGUCUGUUCUAAUCCCUCUUAGUUUAAUUUCUAUAUUUCCAGAUGAAUCAAUCUGUUUUACCUCUUGUACAGACCUGUCAAUGCCUUUCAACUCACAGCUAUGUCCCUGCACCUGUAUUAUAACACAUUUAUCUCACAAACCUAAUCCAUUAGAGGAUGUCAAUACAUAUGUUAGACUUAAAGACUUCCUAACUGCUGUUACGUUGUAGUAGUCUCUGUUGUUCUGAAUUUGCACAUUGGAAACAUUUUCUCCUGUCUGUGUGAGGAGAUGCUUUGCUCUGUUUUUUUUCCCUAUAGGCCUAUUGUACCUUGCAUGCUAUAUUUCCACUAUCGAGUUUGGCAGGUGUAGCUUGCAGGCUUAUAAAUGAUUUGUUAAGAAAUUACCUGGAGACUAUUGUGUCUGAUGCAAAUAUAAACACGUCAGCUGCAGUUUUCCUCUUACAAAGGAGAUGGCAAAAAGGCAGCCCUUGAAAAACUGAGAAAAAUGCAUAGCUCCUUUAUAUGUUAAGCAAGACAACUUUCCUGGGAUUGCAGCCACUGGCACUGUGACACAUAGCAGAAUUCUGAAGCAAAUCUUUAUCAGAGAUAAAUACUGUCUGGGAACAGGUGCUCCACUGGAGCAAAUUCUCAUAGCUUCAACAGAGCAGUGGUGGCUGAUCCCAGCAAGGAAUCUGGUCCACUUUUGAGAAGGAAAGGUUUUCCCAAACUGUUUGAUCUCAACACUUGGGCUUUCAUGUUGCCUUGCCCUGGUGAUUAGUUUAGGACUGUAAUCCCUAGACCACCCGGUUGUACAAACCUGAGCAAGUGUAAGCAGUGUGCUGUUAGCAGUGAACUCUGAUGGCCAGUUUCAUCGGAGGAAAGGGAAUGUGGUCCCUUGGAUUGCCUCGCAAAUGGAAACCUUCAGGAGGCAUGAACAUACUUCUAUCUACUAGGAAUGCUACUAGGAAUAGGCCACCUAUUCAAAAGGUGACUGGAGUACACAAAAAGUAAAAACUUGGAAAACAAGACUCAAGGAAGGGAAGAGAAAUGUAAGACAACACUUAGCACUGCUGACUUGUUAAACAUAGUUCUCUCUAAUUUAUGCUGAAGCAAGCCCAGGUCUAUCCUACCUGAAUUUUCUGUCUUUGUUUACAAAGUAACUUGUAUACUUUCUUCUUGACAUAAACUAUGGUAUGUCCGUAGUUAUGCAGCACUUGCAAACAAAAGUGAAACUUUUCCAUCUAGUUCUUUUUGAAUUUGUGGGGUUGUCAAUAUGACUUACGAUAUGACGCAACUUUUUGUGUCUUGAACGGCAGUAAGUGGUAUCUAUCUAUCUAUCUGGUGUGGAUAUUCAUAGGAAGAGUGAAUUAGAAUGUAGUGACACAAAAGUAAUUUUCACCUCAAUCUCAGUAAAUAAAGCAAAUCUGUCUUCUGUAGGUCAUACUUCUCCUGCUUUGUCUGCCUCAGAGAAUAAAAAUUGAAUUGUUCAAGUGAAAUUAGAACAUCAUGGCCUUGACCUGAACAGGAAUGAAAAAAGUAUGUUUGUACAGGAGAUGUCCAUGUAAUCAGUGGGGCUCCUAGCAGUGUUAAUUUGUGAGCACUAUUAAUUCAGUAGCAAUAACCUCCUGUAUUAGUACAGUUGAGUGUCAAUAUUAACACAGUAUUGCAUGCAUUAAAAAUGCUCACAUUUCCUCUUUUUUUCCUCUCUUCUUUUUUCUCCCCUAAUACAUGCAUGAUCAAUUUCAGGUAUAACAUUCUAAAAUUUUUAUGCUAUUCAGCCAACCCGGAUCUCAUUACAUUAGACAAAUAUUGCAUAGGAAGAAAGUGGAUCACGUAAAUGCCACUAAUAUUAUUCAUGAAUUUUCCUAUUACAGUGGGUUGGAAAUCUGCAACAAAUAUUCUCUUACAAAUGACUUUAUUUAAGAUCUGGUAUUGUAUUUCUGUAUGUUGUCAUUGCUAUUUAAUAGGGUUUGAUUCAUUUCUCUGGAUAAAACUCAAUUCUCUACCAUUAACAUUUGUUCUCUCGCACUGAUGAUUAUGUGAAUCUUUCUUACAUCCUUUCUUCCUACCUUCCAGGUUGUCUCAGGACAGACUGGAACUUCAACUUGCUUUAACUUUUCAUAGGAUAAGCAGUCCCAUCCUUCCUCCCCACCUUCUCUCCUUUCCUUUAUUUUCUCUGCUUCUUAAUUCGUUCUUUGAAUCAGACAAAAAUUAGGAUUGCUGAACAGGGUUUCACCUACUGUAGGAAAUAGCUUAAUGACAUGUUUUCUUCUGAUGUUGAACCUGUUUGCAUACUAGUAAUUGCUGUUGGAUAUUAUGUUGCAAAGCAGCCCAAAAUAUGGGAGUAUAAAUAUAUACUUAUGUUAUUUAGAACAUAUCUGUAAUAUAUGCAAAACAUACAGGUAAACCAUAAGUAAAAAUAUAUAACGUUGCAUAUGGCAUGCAGUGGUUUAGCACAGCUGCAGGUUAGUCUUCUGGAAGAGUUUUAUUAAUGGAAAAGCUUCAACUUUAAAUUGGACUAUGCUGUAAUUAAAAAUAAUGUCUGUGACAUUAAUUUCUAUAGGAUACUUUAACGUAAUUUGAAAAAAAAAAUGAUUCUAACAAAUUCCAUGGGUUUUCAUGACAACUUUUUUUAAUAUAAAUCCAUGACGUAUUAAUGGGAUUUUAUUGUUUCAAUUAUUCUUUUUUAGGUUGUAUAAAAAUUUCCCAUAACGUAGUUCUGUAUCUUGUAUUUAUGAUUUGCUAAAGUCUGAGAGCAACUUGUGGUACAAAAUGCAAAAGCAAUUUGCUCUUGACAAGACUAGGUCUAUGUUUAUUGAACAUUAUUUAUUACAUAUAUAGAUCAAUUCAUACACAUUAAUUCAGGAAAGCUUUCCUAUUGCUUAUGGCACAUGUAUGUUGAAUACCUUCCUGGUCUGCGGCUAAAACAUCAAGAGUAAAAUAACUGUGCGCAGACUACUAAUGAGUAAUAGCAUCUAACAUCUAAUCUAAAUCUUUAGCUCUCUUUAAGCUCAAAACUGUUCUCUUGUAGCUCAAAACCAUUUCCCUUCUCCUAUCACCAGCUGAGCACAUAAAAAGUCAGUCUCCUUCCUGCUUUUAAGUUCCUUUUAAGUACUGAAAGGUCGCAACUGAGAUCUUCCCGCAGCCUUCUCUUCUCCAGGCUGAACAAGCCCAACUCCCUCAGCCUGUCUUCGUAGGGUAGGUGCUUCAGCCCACUGAUCAUCUUUGUGAUCUUCUUUGGAUCCACUUUAACAGUUCUAUGCCUUUCUUGUGCUGGGGGCCCCAGACCUGGAUGCAGUACUCCAGAUGGGGCUGCAUAAGGGCAGAGUAGAAAGGAACAAUCCCCUCCUUCUCUGCUGGCAACCCCUCUUCUUGUGCAGCUCGGGAUAUAAUUGGCCUUCUGGGCUGCAAGCAGGCACAAGUAAUAUAAGCAGUGCAUGUAUUAGCUUUUACCCUCAGAUGAAUAUUCAGCAUUACCGUAUUUUUGGUGGUGCAGGUUAUUUUCUUUAAUUAGUAGAGCUACUUGUUGUAUAAUGGCAGUAUAUUCAUUGGUACAAAAUAACACAAAAUAGAGAAAUCUAAAAGGUCCAGAGGAGAUCAAAGCUGAGCUGCAUUUGUUGGUGUUUAUUUCUUUUGGCUACGCUGAGAUGCAGAAACUGGAUUUUUUCUAGUUGUGUGGUUAAGGCAUGACAGUCUUCAUUUUAAUAUAAAAUUGCUCUUAGUGUGGAGUUUCUCUAUUCUGUUUUCUAUAUGCUUAUGUUUGUGACUUGUGUUUACUAAAGUUAAUAACUCCUGUGCGUUUUAGACAUGAAUAAAAAAUACCACCAUUAUUAUUACAUCCAGUCAUCGUUACUAGAAACCUACAGUUCUUUUUUCACUGCAGAUUGCUGUGCAAACUAUUUUGAGUUAUACCCUUAUUUACCUUAAUCCAAGAAUUUUAUAGCAAAGGGAUCACUAAUAAAUCUAAGUUUAAAAAAAAAAAAAAGAGACAACAAACAUAUGGAAAUAUGUUCAGCCCCAGUCCCAGAUCAGAUCAAAUCAGGUUUAAUGCAAGUUCUCUGACCUGUGAGCAUGUGAUAUACUAGGGACCUGGAGGAGAGCUGAAGGUGACAGUGUGGGUGCAAACCCAGACAUUCAGAUAUGGCUCAUCUGCUUUGUUUCCUGAGCUAAAUUUCACUCCCUUGCUGCACUGGCCAACAAUAAAAUAGUUACAGACUUUUGUCUCCUAUCUUGACUCAGGAUCAUCAGACAAGUGAUUCAAGCAGGGUGAGGGAGAUGCCUGUUAUAGCCUUGAUCAUGGCAUCAAAGACUGCACAGGACAAAGCUACAGCCCAUGAAGCGCUGCCAGUUUGGGUCCUUAGGAUAGUCUAAACAGUGGCAGUGUUCAGAGAAGUCAUUCCAGUUUCCCUUUAGAAAAGGAAAACUCCCAUGGUAAACUGUAGUGGCUGCAAACCAUCGUAGCUAGUAAAAUUGCAUACGCUGGUGCGUAUGUAAGCUGGUUUUGUAGUCCAACCACUUCUUUUACAUAGCUAUUGGCUCAGACAUCCUUUCUUACCCUCACUUCCAUGUGCUUCUGCAGGAUCUAACAUCAGGUACUGGUCUAUGUAUACUCCUAAAUAUAUGUAGGUUGCUCCAAAAGUAAUGCUUCCUAUUUAUUUCCAUGGAAUCUACAACAAAUACAAAGCACAAUAACACUUUGUUAGAGCAAAUUCUCAGCUAUAAAACAAUUUUUUAACUUAGUUGCCAUCAUUAGCUGACUCAUGCAGAAGAGCUGAUUGAGAUCAUCUUCUUUUCAAGGUGUGACAGCUGUACAUGGCUGUCUGGAACAUGACUUGUCUUUCAUGUUGCUGUCACUGCUGCUGAAACACACCACCCACUGCCUCGCUGUGCUCACAUCCACUGUUUUGUCUCCAGAAAUGCUCAGCAAGUGUUGGCGAAUGUCAGUGGGUACCAUUUUUUCUGCAAGGAAACAUACAAUGGCAUACCUUUGCUUCAUCUGCACUUUCAUGUCAGAUGACAUCCUGUCAGACUGAUCCUCUGCUGCCAUCUGUCGCACAGUAACAAGGUGUAAGGGAGUAUCGUUGGGAAGGUUCUACCUCUACUGCCAUACCACCGACAUCUGCCUCUGACACUGUGAACCAACAUAAUAAAAUAGAGGCAUUACUUUUGGAGCAGCCAUCAUAUAUUUUGAAAUACUACAUACAAAUGAAAUGCGCAUAGUAGACUGAUGUUAAUGUGGAGCUAGCUGAGCAGUGUUGUAAUAAGCUUUAUCUUCACUCACUUCUGCACACAAAUAAGUACACUGCUUAGAUAAAUUCGUGUAAAAAAACUUUCUUGUAUCUAUAGUUAAGAAUGUAACAUAUCAUAUCCCCAAAAUUGAAGCCAUGUGAAUCAGAUUUCAGUUAGACAAAGUAAUUUUUCAUACUAUGACAACCACCAGCCUAAUGUAAGAUUUCCCUUUCCUCUUAAAGGCAGGACUAAUAUUUUACUUAAGGAAAGGAGGGCCCUCCAGGAUUUUAUACUCUGUCAGUAUACAAAAUAGGUUUUGGAUCACAAAGCAAAGUGUGAUUUCAUAAAGUUAUUGUUUUGAUGCGGCUCAAAAUCAUGUUUUCUCCUAGGUAUCUCUGAGAGUUGAGCACAGGCAGGAAUUCAGCAGGUUUAGCACUAAGCCUUCUAUACGUAUAAGCUGUUGAUUGAUGCUCUGCCUUCUAAUUACGUGGUUCUACAUCAAGGUAAUCCAACAGUUUAUAGUGGAUCAUUCCUGACCCUUCCUGAUUUGACUAUAUUUCAUAAUGAGAACCAUGGUAAAUAGUGUGUGGCCUCUUAAAUUUGUCAAUUUUCUUUGAGCCUUCAGUUUUUCUAACUGCCCACAGAAGCUUUUGAAUACAGAUUGUAACACAGUGUCCCUAGCAGGAACUGGAGACAGCAUGGGUAUACACAGUAAGCCAAACACAUAAUGCGUGAUCCAGAAAUGGCUGACUUGGGGAAAUAACUACACUGAUGAUGAACAUCUGUUUUUGAUAUAAAAAUAUUGGGGCAUUUUUGGAAGGAAAAGCUUAUCUUUUGGCUUUUGAUACUCUGCACAAUUUCCAUCCCAUUCAUCAGACCAAUAAAUCUCUGCUAAUUUGCUCCGAAAUAAUGAAGCCGUAAUAAUGAGAAGCUUGACUACAGCAUAUGCUCUAUCAUUGAAAGGCAAGAAGAGUCCACAAAUGCUGUUUUUUUUUCAAAUAAUGAGGAGCCCUAUUCAGGCAGUCCCUGUAAGAGUGCUUAAGUUCCCAGCACCAGUGGAUAACACAGACCUGUCUCCUUUUCCUGGAAAGCAAGAGAUCAGACUGGGAUGCAGACAUAAAACUCCUCUACACCAGUGCUCUCCAGAAAGCAAUUUGGUUUUCUUUUAUUGCUCUACACAUUCCACAAGAACGUUGAGUUUGAACAGGCUUUUUGCUGUGUCUGCGCGUUGAUUUUGUAUUUAUUUUAAUAGCUGUGCCUGGUGAUUUUUGCCUGAAUCUAACUAAUGCAUUUGUAAGGUGCUAGCUAGUGUAAUAAAUAAAUAGAUGGCAACCAGCAGAGUGUUGCUGUAAGAGAAGAGAUGAGGCUUGCUGUUUCUGCAAGCAGCUCUCAUUUGUUACUUCAGAGCAAAAAUUGAGCAUAGGAAUUAACAUAAAAGAUCAGUUCAGCCUUUGUGAUACCCUUGUAUUCUGCCUCCUUAAGCUCCUGUGACCCUGGGCACUUCAUACACAAUCCAAAGUGUCUGUGUUGGUGAUCAUGUGAUGUGAGUUUGGGUGUUUUUUGUUGUUUUACUUUGGUUUUGGUUUGUUCUCUUAACCUCAGCGACCAGGUUGACCAAUUACCUGGAAGGAAAAAGAUGUUUUGUGGCCCAUCAAUCUUCUGGAGAUUGUAGUAUUUUUUCCAGCAUACUUUUGGACGUUCUUGAGAACCACAAAAGGGAGAUCUGCUUUUAAUACCCUUGCUGGGGAGAGGAGUGGUAUUUUUUGCUUCUAAAAGCCUUUAUGCCGCUGGUUGUAAUUUGAAGCUUAAAAACAGCAGGCUUAGAAAUAUUUCAAAGCUCUCUAGAGGGCAGAGCCUGCUACUGGAGGCUUAUGGACAGAUUUUUGCUACCAGGUAUGAUAUCAAUCAAGAAUUCCAUUGAUUGCAGUGCUAUUACUCUGGCAUAACCAGGAGCAGAAUGUGACCCUCAGUUUAAUUUCUGAUACGGCUCCUGGAUUUAUUGGAGCUGUGCAUCUCUGCAGGACCUUUCCUGCCUUUGCUGCAGCGGCAGCUUGAUGUAAAUCAGAUUUCCUUGCAGCUGAAAAGAGUACUGAUUAUAUAUGAAGCUCUAACAACAUUUGCUGGAGUUCUAUGUUCCUGGGACCGGCUUAGGCAUUCAACCAGCUUAUCCUUCUGCCUGUGACCCAAAGUAAGAGAAAAGUGUUUUACAGUAGUAAUAAAGAGAUUACGUUAGAUGAAGUUAUUUUCAGUAGCUAUAUCAGGAAGAUUGAGAGUCAAUUAUUCUGGUCAGGUUCAUCUUUAGGACACAAGCAAAGAAGAGGGCUGAGACAUUUAUACUGUACUAGCAAAAAAAAGAUUUAAAGAUACUGUGUUUGCACUGACUACUUGGGCCUUAGCACAGGGAAUAACUCUGGAAUAACUCUUGGGGAUGUCAGUGCUCAUAUUUUGGGAGCUGGAGAAUAUUGCUUCCAUCUCUUUUUGGGUGCUUCCUGACUUAUUUGUCUCUUACUCAGCAGAAAAAAAAAAAAGCAGGCUCUGUGGCCUUUGUCACGUGUCACAGUGAAUAUUUGGUAGGGAGAACAGCACUGAGGCUCCUGAUGGUAUUCCUGGGAUGUUUUGUAAACUUCUCUUCUGUUAUAAAAUCUGCUUUCAGAAAACUUUUCAGUGUUCUCUACUGAUCCCACAGAAAUACUGAUGUAUCUCUUAUCUCUCUUUUUUUUUUUUUCUGCAGAGGGAAAUGUUGCUUGAAGAGAUGCUAUAUGCAAUGGCAUGUCAUUCUGCUACCUAUUUUUAAAUAUUCACAUAGACCACAUGUAUUGGAAGGAAAGAUGUCUAUUCUGAGACAGCUGAAUGAGCAAAUUCCUUUUUAAAAGAAACUGAUGAUCACCUGCAGAUGGGGCUGUGCCAUUGGAAGCCAUUGUAAAUCAGAAGCUGUUUCGCUGAACUUCUUACUGGAGCUGUGCAGCACCAUUGCAGAUGAGGAGAUAAUUGUGCCUAAUACACAGUCUUGUUGGCUACCAGCAGCAAACUCAUAUU
This is a long non-coding RNA of Gallus gallus (chicken), 16980 nucleotides long. RefSeq lists it as uncharacterized. The transcript has 7 exons. The record is from RefSeq and is a predicted model, not a curated record. Lineage: Eukaryota; Metazoa; Chordata; Aves; Galliformes; Phasianidae.